UACAGAGGUCUCAACCGUUGUUCGGAUUCAUUGGGCGUAAAGGGCGCGUAGGCGGCCUUCUAAGUCGAACGUGAAAUCCCUGGGCUUAACCCAGGAACUGCGUCCGAUACUGGAAGGCUUGAAUCCGGGAGAGGGAUGCGGAAUUCCAGGUGUAGCGGUGAAAUGCGUAGAUAUCUGGAGGAACACCGGUGGCGAAGGCGGCACCCUGGACCGGCAUUGACGCUGAGGCGCGAAAGCCAGGGGAGCAAACGGG
RNAcentral lists this ribosomal RNA (253 nucleotides) under uncultured bacterium. RNAcentral's name for it is "partial 16S ribosomal RNA". It matches the Rfam family "Bacterial small subunit ribosomal RNA", at positions 524 to 776 of the family's 1533-position model. The record is from RNAcentral.